AUUUUGAACAAUAAGCAUCAUUAAUAUAAAUAUUUUGAGUAAAAUGAGAGAAGUAAACUAUAAAUAUAGGGUCACUUAUGUUUGGUUAUCUUUGGAUAUCCAUUCGGGCUCGGAUAUUACUCGUUUGGAUUUAGAUUUUACCCGAACUGGUGAAAUAAGUAAUUUGUUUUGUUGUUCUAGAAUUAGAUGAUUUUUAGACCGAGCUGAUGAAUAUAUACUAGACAUGCGUUUAUAUUUCGAGUCUGCACGUAUAUUUUAUAAUAGCUUGAUAUAUUAGAUUUGAACACAGUUUGCCGGUGAUUUUUUUUUUCAAAAUUUUGAUUUUUAGAUAGGCAUCUGGAAUGAAAGUAAUUUUUACAUAUGUCCAUUUUUUAAAUUGACACUUAUGUAAUUCACUGAAUUUAUAGAAUAAGUUAAAAAAAAGAAACUUAACUCAUAUCAGUGAAACAAAGACCAGAACGAAAGCACAAUUUUAUAGAGGUAGAAAAUGAAAUCACUUAUAGAGAGUCAAUAGUAAACAAAUUGGAAGAAGAAACCCUUAUCCUCUUUCGUCAUUAUACAAUCGAUGUUGCUUAUUUGGUUCUGGUGAUUUGUGUCGGCCGCAAAAACUUAAUUUCCUUUUGUGCAUAUGAAAUCUUAAAAAUAAUUAAAAUAAGAUGUAAUACAUCCACUCUUCAACAAGGAUGAUAUAUUCAAGAGACCAACUUUUAUAUUGAUCAUUUUAUAAUCGCUAAAGAUUGUGGUGUUACAAAAUGUUAAAACUAUUUAAUAAACAAACAUUAUUAUAAAAAUUCACUCCGUAUAUGCGUGCGGGUUAUCAUCUAGUUUACUUAUAUUUAGGCUGUAAGUUGUAACUGGUUUACAUGUUUAAGAAUUGAUGGAAUUAAAAUUAAUGGAAUAAUAUGAAUGGAAAGCAGAGAAAAAAACGGAAUAGAUCCAUUCCAUUCAUUUCAUUCUAUUGAAGACAAAUGCUGAAUUAUUUUUAGGAAUUGAUAGAAUACGUUUUCAUAUUAUUUUAUUAUAAAUAUUGAUAAUCCAGUUGCACCUUAAUGGAAAGAAUAGGUGUAUAUUCUAUUUACUUUUAAUCGAUUAAAACACAAAACAUUUUUCUAAUUAAUUUUUUUUGUAAGAUUGUAAAUUAAAAUACCUCUCUUUUAUAAAGUAAUUAGAUGUUUUGCUCGCACAUGUGGACAUAAUUUUCUUACGAAUAUUUAAUUAUAUUAUGUAAUAUUAAAUAAAAAAACAGCAUGAUAAGUUAUUAUUUAUUUUUCGAAAAUUUUAAAUCAAACAUCAGAUUAUUUAUAUAUGAUAAUGUUUUUUAUUAAAAUGUAUAUCCUUAUUAUUGUGUUGAAAUUUUUUAAACACUCACAUAUUAGAAAUUGUUUGGGAAAUAUCUUUAUACAAAUUUUUUAUAGUUUAUAUAACUAUAAGUUGUUUUAUAUCUUAAAUUUUAAGUUUUCCAACAGAAAAAUAGAAUUUCAAUAUAAAAACACAAUGUAUAUAAGAAUUAUCAUAUUUUCAAAAAUCUAAAUCUACUAAUAUAAAAUAAUUUUUAUAUAUAAUAAAUUAUAUAUAAAAUCAUUAAGGGUAACAACAACAUUAGACACUCUAACUUUUAAAGUGAGAGUUCCAUUGAUAAAAAUCACUACACAAAUAAUAGUAUAGAUUAUGGAAACAAUAUUAUACUACUAUCUAUAUUUCCAAAAAAAAAAUUAAUCUUGUAUCCAAACAAUAUAAAAUAUUAGAUUUUAUCCUUUUUCAACUUUUUCAAAUUAUUUGAUAAAUCAAAUGAUUGACUAAAACAUUCAACUAAUUUCUGAAAAACAAAAAGUAAUUAUAACUUAUUUUUGCAUAUUUAAAUACUAUAAAUUAUUUUAAUCAGUAUUAAAUCAAUUAAACAAAUAUAUAUAUUUGCAUUUUCAUUAAAAACUACAUUCAUUUAAAUCUAAAUAACCUUCCAUAUUAAAUUAAAUACUACAUAUAAAUACAAUGCAAUAAAUUAACAUCAACUAAAUUUUAUUAUUAAAAUUUUGUCAAAAUAUUUAUACAAUUAUUCAAAUAAAUUAUAGAGGUUUUAAUAAAAUUUAUAAAGUAAAGAUUUGAAAUAACUAAAAAUUAGAAUAAAUAAUAUCUUAUACAAUUUAAUAUUUAAUCAAAAAAUAUAUUCAAAUAAAAUAAAGUAAAAAAGUAAAACAAAUUUAAAAUUUUAUAUUAUUAAAAGAUAUUUCCAAGCUUAAAAGUCCAUUUAAAUUUUUUAUAUGAUUGGAAUAAUAUGUAAUCGAGUUUUUCUUAGGUUCACCCCAUAGGGUGUACCUGUAGGUUCACCCCAUAGGGUGUACCUGUAGGUUCACCAACCAAUAAUAGUUUGCUACCUCAUAUUUAGUUUAAAAAAACAAAACAAUAAUAAUUUGCCAAGCCAUAUAGCAUUUUUAAAAUAAAAAGGUAAAAAUAAAUAAAAAAUAGUAGUAACUGCCACAAAAAAUGAAUUUUUUAACAUCAUUGUUAACGCCGUCUACAAAACACUAAACUCUAAAUCUUAAACACUAAACCUUAAACACUAAACCCUAAACCCUUGGGUAAAAAUCUUAACCCUUUGGUAAAUCCUAAACCUUUAGGGUUUAUAUUUUUUUUGACGGCGUUUAGGGUUUACUGUUUAGAAUUUAGAAUUUAGUGUUUAUGAUUUAGGACUUAAGAUUUACCAAGGGUUUAGGAUUUACCUAAGGCUUUAGGAUUUUGGGUUUAGUGUUUUGCUGACUGCGUUAACAGUGUUAAAAAAAAUAUUUUAGCAGCUACUACUAUUUUUUAUUUACUUUUACUUUUUUUUAAAUAAUAUGACUUGGAAAAUUCUUAUUAUUUUGUUUCUUAAAAAAAAAAACUGAAUAUGAAGUGGCAAACUAUUAUUGGUUGGUGAACUUACAGAGGGUGAAUCCAAGAAAAUCUCUAAAUAAUAUGCAUGAUCAUACGGACCCGACAAAAAAUAUAUUAUUCGAACGUUUAUUUGUUGUUUAGGAUAAAAAACUGUUAGAUAAGGGGCUUCAGUUUAGAAAUGAAUGAUUAACAAAAUCUGUUUGGUCAGAUCUAUAUUUAUAUUCAUAUAUGUUUUUGGUGGGUCAAUUAUUUUCAAAUAAAUAAAAAUGAUUUCAUAAAAACUGUAUACAAAAAUAAGAUAUAGAAUAGACAUUAAAAAGAACUUAUACCAUUGUCUAAAAGUGGUAAAACCAUGGUAUAUCAGUUAGACGUGCGCUCAGUAGUGCCCACAUUCUUCUUUUUGUCACUGAAGGAUCCAUGCUUGACCUCUUUAACAAAGUGAUCUUCAUGUAACCGUAGUCAGUUCUUAUGAUCUCUUGAACGCCCGACUAGAUCUUUCUUCCUUCCGACCAAGUAUUUUCUUUUCCAUUUGCCUCUGCUUAUGUGUGCUUUGGGUGUUUUCCGUAUAAUCAUUUAUGUGUGCCUUGUAUCUAUAGAGAAAACCGGCCAACCACUCUACUAAGUGGCAAGGUGCAAUUUGGCCAUCCGAAUGGACAUCUGUCCAUUCCUUUCUGUUUGGCCACAAACUGUCCAACCGCUCAGCACACUUGCACCAAGACUUGUCGCCCAAAAAUUCCUGAUCGACCACCAGUCCAUUAACCGUCCCUGUCCAGCCAACUGCCCUAACUACCUAAUACUCCUUUCAUCUAAGUUGAGGUUCCUGGAAUCUGGUCUAGCUAGCUGAGCCAGAGUGCUAGUUAAUCCAGCUGAUCCGGCCUAGAUGAGCUUAGACCUAAGCUCCUUCCACUAGGUCAAGCUAUCUUCAUUCCUUCCCUAACUCGUUCCAUCUUAAUUUCUCCAUUUCUCUUUAUUUCCUUGGCUAAUUAUCUAUUUCCUGGACUUAUCUCUUUACUUCAGACCAUGCAACACAUGUCUUGAUGUCCUUCGACCGAAUGUUCGUUCCCUUGUCCCAUGGUCUGUGCCGACGAUCCUAAUGUGGAUAGGAGAAUGCCAAUUUACAUUUUGAUUGAUUACUAUCCUAUUGAAUUUUCAAGUAGGACCCCAUUUCACCUUUGUUAUUAAUUCCCAAAAAGAUUUGAUUGAUUGCUUUACAUUUUUAGGCAUUCUCUUACCAGAGUGUAGAGAUGACUUGUCAAAGUUAAUACAUUUUCCCAAAGCUUUUUCUUAUGUACUAACAACUUUCAUUGUUUCCCGUACAGAAAAAAAAAGAUUAUCCUCAGCAAAAGAAGGUGCUACACCGGGGCUAGCGCAUGAGAUACUCAUUUCCGUUAUUUUUCCUUGAUUUUUCGCAUGAUUAAAAAUGCUAACUAUUGGUUCUGUGUAUAGAAUAAAUAUUAAAGGAGAACAAUGAUCUCCUUGACACAAUUCUCUUUUAAGGACAAUAAUGCAUAUGUGUUGACCAUUAGAAGAACAUGAUAAUUCACAGAUGUUAUACAUCGCAUUAUCUAAUCAAUCCAGGUUACUGAGAACCCUAUCCUGCUUGACAGCUUUGAUAAAAUCUCAUUGUAUCGGUCAUAAGGUUUACUCAUGUCUGUCUUCAUGGACGUUCUCGUGCCUCUUCCUCCCGGUUCGAUACUCUUUAUAUAUGUUUAUUCAUAUAUAUGACAUAUUUCAAUCGGUCUCUCAUAGUUUUAUAUUUGUCUCGAACAGCUAUUUCUUCUGAAAAAUCAAAAUUCUUGAUUAAUUUCCUACCUAUCUUUGUGGAAUGCUUCUUUGUGCUUAGUUUGAGCACUCACAGUAACUUUUAUACAAAAAACCAUUAUUUAAAAUAAUUUACUUUUACAGAAUCCUCCUAUAUAUUAAAUGAGAAGUCACUUAAGUGACUUUUGCCUCGGUGUCAAUCAUAGAGAGAGUUUAAGAAAAUUGUUAUAAUUUGAUUGGUUGAAGUAUAGUUUUAAUUAUUUUAAUUAGAUCUAAAAUAAAAGGUAAGUCAAGAACCAAUUAAUAUAACUUACCAAAUAGUCUAAAUGAUAUUACAAAUAAUAAUUUAUGGUAACUAACUGUCAAAAUUAUAGAAAGUAUAAUAAUAAUUGAUUAAUUAUUUUUAUAUUUAUAUACUAUAUAAUAUAAUUAAUUGAACACAAUUUCUAGAAAUUGAUAUGAUGAUUUCAUAUUCUGAUAUAAAUCAUUAUAUAUAUAUAAAAAGAAUUAUAAUAAUUAUUAAUGUCUUAUAAGUCAUUUAUAAAAAAAAAAGCAUUUAUAAAAUUAUCUAUCAUGGCUUACAAAAAUAUUUUAUCUUAAUUUUAAAUUAUGAUAUGAGUUUAUAAAACAUUUAUAAAAAAUAAAAAUUCGCCUAUAUAUUAAAAUAAAAGCCACUUAAGUGAAUUUUGCUUACAUGUCAAUCAUUUGUGCAAUCUUAAAUUUUUUUUUAUAAUUUGCUUGGUCGAUAAUUUUUAAUUUUAUUUAUUUUAUUUAAGAUUUAAAAUAAAAACAUCUAGAUCCAAUUAAUAUCACUUCCCAAAAAUCUAAAUUAUCUUAUAUAUUAAAUGAGAAAUCACUUAAGUGACUUUUGCCUAUGUGUCAAUCAUAGAGAGAGUUUAAGAAUAUUGUUAUAAUUUGAUUGGUUGAAGUAUAUUCAAUUUUUAAUUAUUUUAAUUAGAUCUAAAAUAAAAGGUAAGUCUAUAACCAAUUAAUAUAACUUACCAAAUAGUCUAAAUGAUAUUACAAAUAAUGAUUUAUGAUAACUAACUGUCAAAAUUAUGUAAAGUGUAAUAAUAUUUGAUUAAUUCUUUUUAUAUUUAUAUACCACAUAAUAUUAUUAAUUGAACACAAUUUCUAGAAAUCGAUAUAAUGAUUUCAUAUUCUUAUGUAAACAUUAUAUUUAUAUAAAAAGAAUUAUAAUAACUAUUAAUGUCUUAUAAUGUCCAUAUAUGUCUUAUAAGUCAUUUAUAAGAACAAUAAAGCAUUUAUAAAAUUAUCUAUCAUGGCUUACAAAAUUAUUUUAUCUUAAUUUUAAAUUAUUAUAUGAGUUUAUAAAACAUUUAUAAAAAAUAAAAAUUCUCCUAUAUAUUAAAGUAGAAGCCACUUAAGUGAAUUUUUCUUACAUGUCGAUCAUUUGUACAAUCCUAAGAUUUUUUUUUUUAUAAUUUGCUUGGUCGAUUAUUUUUAAUUUUAUUUAUUUUAUUUUAGAUUUAAAAUAACAAAAUCUAGAUCCAAUUACUAUCACUUGCCAAAAAUCUAAAUUAUAUUACAAAUACUGAUUUAUGGUAACUAAUUGUUGAAAUUAUAUAAAGAAUAUUAACGCUUGAUUAAUUCUUUUUUAUAUUUAUAAACUACAUAAUAUAAUGAAUGGAACUUUUUUAAACUUUUUAUUAUUUUAAUUAUAUCUAAAAUAAAAGAGAAGACUAAAACUAAUUACUAUCACUUGCCAAAUAAUCCAAAUGAUAUUAAAAACAUUAAGUAAUGGUAGCUAAUUUUCAAAAAUAUAGAAAGUGUAAUAGUGUUUGAUCAAUUGUUUUUAUAUUUAAACACUACAUAAAAUAAUGAAUAUAAAACAAUUUAUAGAAAUCGAUAUAACGAUUUCAUAUUCAUAUAGAAAUAUAGGCGUAUCUAUAAUAAUUACUAAUCUCUUAUAAUGUCCAUAUAUGCUUUAUAAAUAAUUAGGCUGUUAAAAUUGGAAGGAUUAUAUUAAAGGAUCAUGUGAAAAUUUUGAUUAAAAAUGUUUUGCAUUUAAGUCAAAUAAUAUAGUGAAUAAGUUAAUGUUAUGACUGAAAAGAAUUCUAAGAUAGAUUUUUGUUUCGUUGAUUGUAUGUUUUGUAUUACUAUUUAGAGAGAGAAAUAAAUAUUUGGCAAAAUUGUGUAAACAAUUAGGAAAACAUUAGCAAAUAUUUAAUAAAAAGGUUGAAAUGAUAACGAAAAAAUAAGAAGACGUCGAAGAAGAUGCAUAAUAUAUGUUGGAAAAGUUAAUGUGAUAAUUACAUAUAUAAUUUUACAAAUAUUUGAUAUUACUAAAUAUUCAUUAGUUAUUUUUACAUCAAAUUUAUAGAAACUUUGCGAUUAUUUUCAAACUAAUUGAGGUUAAAAAUUAUAUUUUAAAUUUUUCUAAUUUUUAUUUAAAAUUUAUGAUAUUAUAUACAUAAUAUAUAUUUUCUUACAAUAUUAAUAUCCGUGAAUUCGCGGGCAACCACCUAGUUUAAACUAAAGCAAAACAAAAUUGGCAAUAUGGCUUUUUAGGACAAAUAUGUUAUGGAAUAAUAUCAAAUUUCAUGUAUAGUAAUUUAUUUUGCAAAAUUCUGGAACAUCACAGUAGCAAUUAGAGAACACAAUGUCCAAUACAUGAAAAUCGUUAAUGUGAAGGAAUAAGAUGAGAAUGAUGGUCAUGGCGACUGCGGAUACACUCUUUGAAACAAUUGUCUAAGCACGUAAUGCUUGGUGGGAAUGGACCUAAACAUAUGCCUUGGCAUAUUUUCUUGCAUUCUUGUACUGUCUUCGCUUCACCUUCCAUUGUCAACAUCGUCAUCACAAUCACCAUGAUCAUUAUCAUCAGCGUUCUUCUAUCCAUUUUCUUGGUCUUAACUGACGAAAUAAUAUAACGAAAUGUUAGUAAUGAUAAUUUUUUAAAUUCCUUGUUGCCUCUUUAGUACUAUUUAUAGGUUCAACUACUCUAUCAUUUACAACUCGAUUUUUUUUUUACACUUACAUGGAAGCUCACUUUUUCAGAUCCGCAUUAUUUGAAUUUGUUUAAUGUUUCGUUUGACUCUGCUAUUAAAUUUCCUUGUUUCUUCGAUAGUUUAUAUGCAUAUAUACCCCUAUAUUGACCUGAAACCAAUGCAUCCAGUUAUUCUUAAAAAUGUUGACCAGAAACAAAGGCUAGACCAAAAUAUUACACCAGCAAAAUUUUCCAGUUUAGUUUCAAAUUUGUUGACCACUGAGUUAUUCCCUUUUCAAAAUCAUUUAAAAUCAAAUAACAAUUAUAGUGGGGAAAAUCAUAUAUAUCUUAGAGGGAAUUAUAGAUUUACGACAAUUUUGAUACAACUUUCAAAUUUAUCUUUAGUAUUCACUAUUUUCAUAAAUACCUUAAGUUUGUGAUGAAAAAAAGAAUAAACCGACCAAUCUAAAUCAUUUACAAAUGUUUAAGAAUUAUUUUGAGAAGUUUAUAAACUCAACUCCACCCGCUAAAUACUGCGAAACCCCAAAACCCAAUUGUUAAAGUAUUUUGAUUGAGUGUAUUUUUGAAAUUAGUAUUUAACUUUUGAUAUUUCAAGCAAUUUCUGUAUGUUUUAUUAGUUACAAUAUAAUUUUUAAUUUUGAAAGUUGUUAAUUAACAUGAUUGUGACAUAUGUCAAUAAAAAGCUAUAAAUGUGACAUGGGCUUACGGAUUUCUAAUAAAUAUAUAAAACAGAAUAGUAUUUUUCCUUCAUUAGGCCAAAAAAGUCAUUAUAAAUAUAAAACUAUGUGGCAUUAACCUUUUUUAAAAAAAAAUUCCUAAACCGAAAAGAAUUAGACCAAAUAUUUUCCUUACAAAUGUGUAAUUAUUUAAAUGUACUAUUACUUUAAAAACUAUCAAACUGAAAAGAAUUACAAAACAAGGACAAUCCAAAACCAAAGUUUAAACAUGGUUGGUUUAUAUCUGCCAAGUCCAUUUUUCUCUCACAGAAAAUUACAUCUCACUAUCAAAAAUCAUUAUAGCUACAUGAUUCAGAUUUUUAAAGUACGUACAAAAACCUAUGACAUUUAUUAGGGUAAAUAUGUGUAGGCUCUUUGUUGGUAAUACAGAAACGAGAAGUAAAAAAUAACAAGCAAGAACAAUGAUUGAGAAUAUUAUUUUAUUGAUAUUUAGAGUCGAAACUAUAACAGUUUGGAUUAUGAACCUUAAUUCUAGUCGCCUAACUUUACAGUUUAACACUUGGAUCUCUUUUUCUAGGGUUUGGGCUCCACUUUUCUAUGUUGUUCAUAGUCGAAAGUUAGGUUAAGUCAUUCUAUUUCUUGAAAUAUGGAAGAACACCCCUUUGGUAAAAAUAUUUCAUUUUACCUGGAGGUAGGAAUUGACCCAAGUUUGGGGUAUGGAUUUAUCCAGGCAAAAAACCGGGGGGGGGGGGGGGGGGGGUGUCCUGCUUGGAGGUACGAGUAAUAACUUAUGCACUUUAGUUUACCAGAAUGAUUCAUUCUCAGCAGGUCUGUCAUGUCCCCGGUCCUAGAUAGGAUUGUCGGGAUAGACCAUGGUUCGAGGAACCGUACCAGCCGAUCAUGAGAUCAUAAGGGAAGCGUAUCAUGAUCUAUCAAAGAAGGUUAAGUGCUCUAAGAGACUAAGAUUUAACCGAAUAAGGAGGAAACGAGGAUAAGUAAGCUGGACGAGUUGGAAGGCAGCUGGGCGAUGCAGACAUGAAGCUCGGUCAGAUGGACGAAGCUCGAUCAAGGUCAGUCUAGCUGUUCCAAGUUGGGUCAGCUCAACCAGCUGGAAUACUAUCUCACUGAGCUGGGUCAGCUGGGAGCCAGCAACUCAGCUUGAUGGAGUGUUUGGGUCUGGGGCAGUUGGACCGGUUCCGGGUCAGUGAUGGGUCGAUUGGCCAGACAGGUUGUUCAUGGAACGGAGGGGUCUUGGGCUAGGCCGUGGGCUAAGCCACAAGGGCUUGGAAAACUGGUUGGGCCCCAGAUCGACCCAAUAGGGGGCGGUUAUAGGCGAUGGGGUGGGAAUGGUUCGGGUUGCAACCAUUCGGCCAAGUCAUGUUCGUCCAUCAAUUUGUGCAUGUUCUCCCAUCAAGUCAUGCAUGUUCGCCCAAGGCAAUGGCAGACCUUGACUCCUAUAAAUAUAGAGCCUCUCUCUCAAUUUAUAUCAUCAGUUUCCAGAGUAAAAACUCAGAGAAAUAUCGUGAGAGAGAAAGAAAGAAAGAAAGAUAGUCCGGUGAUAUACCAUGGAUUUUACCCACUUUUAGCCAUGGUAUAUAAGUGUUUUUAAAUACACUAUAGUUGUUUUGGAGUCUUUUUAAUAUGUUUUCAGGUUUAAGUACUUUUUGGAAGAAAGUGGUGAUUUAGGGUCUUUUGGAGCCUUGUGAGUGCAGAACUCCACAUACUUGUCAGAUAUUUAGAUAUGGAUGGAAACCUUCCCACGGUGAGAUUGAGCCUAUCGUUUUACCAAAGAUAGAGCUUUGAGUUAGAUUUCCAAUGCCACUGGUUUGAGGUCAAUCCAACGGUUAGAUCAGAAGGUAUGCCUGUUUUACUGAAGAGUAGUCAGUCUGUCUCGCGAGAGAAACCUGUCGAGGAGAUGAAGGAACGUCGAUCGACGGUGCACCCUUGGUGUCGAUCGACGGUGAUUCCAGAAUGCGGGCCGAGUAUAUUUCAAGAUUGACUUAAGCCCAGAAGCAACCACAAAUUACCAAAAUACCCUUGGACUACCUAAAACCUAUUUAUGUAUUUUCUAAGCCAUUCUUAACGGCUAAGCUUUAUUCAUUGUUCUUAGUUAGGAGAGAAGGGAGGAACUCCUUCAGAGUCCUCCUGGAACUCCAUUGGUUCUUAUAUAUAUUGCUUUCUAUACUAUGCCUAUUCUUUCUAUGAUUUAUGUGACAACUAUCAUGCUUGAAUAGAUUCACCUGUUAGGUUUAGGUUCACAUAUCAUGAGGGAUUAGCCCAAAAUAUUGAUUGCUAAGUUGUUACGAUAUCCAUGGAUUGAACUGAACUUACUGCUUGUGUUCUAGAGUAGCUAACUAGAAUCAUGUCGUUAGGAUAAUUAGGUGCAAGCGAGAGCAUGGUCUAUUGCCUGAACCAUUCAUAUUGUGCUAGGAUUGCUAGAGAAAGAUGAGAGUUGAUCUAGGAACCUAGUGAACAUAGUUCAAACCUGGUCGCUAAAGCUUUCUAGAAGGAUCAGUGAUCGACAACUCAUUAGAUGUAUCGAUCGACAAUCUGAAAGGUGUAUCGAUUGACAUUCCUAUAGAAUCGGCGAUCGACACUUUCUCAAGAUCAACAUGCGAGAGUUGAUAGAUUAUUCCUUAGUUUGACUUCUAUAAUAUUCAACCUUAGUCUCUAUACUACUAUAAUCCUGAUUGCCUGAAUAGAAACCCUAAGUCUAGCAACCAUCCUUCCAUCAAACAACUCAAUCAAUCAAUCGAGCAAUUACUUUGCUCACACCACUGCUAUUUAAUUACAUUUAAAACUAUUCGACUAGCUUAAUCAAUAACUAUUUAGAUCUAGUGUGUACCCUAGCUCCCUGUGAAUUCGAUCCCUAAGUGCUACAACUAGACCUAUUAUUUUAGAGAGUUCAAUCACUCUUUAGGGUAAUUUGAGUGAUAUCAUCCAGCCAAGAAAAAGGCCGAUCAUGUGGUGGUUACUUUCGGCUAGUCCGAUCGUUUGAGAAAGAAGGAACCGACAAUAGAUGGAAGAAACCGGAAAGGAGAAGCAAGUGGAAACCCAUGAGUGUGGCUCCAAGGUACAUGAUGGACCGGCGAUCCAUCAGACUAAGCCGGUGGCCCCAAUGGUCGGGUCUUUGGUCUGAUCGGUUCGUAGGUUACAUCCGCUCUUCCUUAUUCUAUUCUAUACAUUCUUAUUCUCUUCUUUUCUUGAUAUCACGAAGGGGUGUGAUGGUUAGGCCGAAGGGUUGUGUCCCUGGAACGAGUCCAUUCGCAUCCAAGCCACGAUCCUAGGUCAUCGGCUGGAUCCAUGAUAGACCAUGGAUUUGACUCAUUUUCGUCCAUGGUUUAUAGGUGUUUUUACUAUCUAUUAUUAUAUUAUAGAACCUAUUUAUUAUAUUUAUAAGAUCAGGAGUGAUUUGGAGAUAAAUGAUGAUUUUGGAGCAUUUUUGAGAUAUUUGGAGCAAGCACCCGAGAUGACCAUCGAGCUCGACCAUCGGUCAAUAUUGGAGGAGGAAUAUCGAUCGAUGUUCACACUUGAACAUCGAUCGACAGCGAAGCGCGCAGAAAGCCCGUUUGGUCACAGCUGACUUGAAGCCAAGUCUUCACCAAUUUACAAGAUUACCCCUGACGAGUUUUAACCUAACUAUAUAAGCUUUACCACCAUGUUAGAGGCAAAGUGUGCUUUUCUGUGUUUUUAGUUGUAUUACUUUCAGCAAAGGGUGGUUUUAGGAUUGUGAUGGAUUGGAGAGAAGAUCCAAAGUUAUAAUUUGUGAUUGGAACUCCAUUAAUUUUUAUUUUACUAUUCUAUGAAGUUUUCUUACCUAAUUGCUUUCAUGAAUUGUUUGGCCUUGUCUGAGUAGUUCCACUGUUAGAUUUAGGGUUUAAAUAGGUUAUGAGGGAUUAGCCCCAAUUAUAGAUUGCUGAGUUGUGGUAAUUGUCAUUAGGAUUGUUCAUUAAUGCAUGUUUCUAAAUUAGCUACCUAGAACUUGCCAUAGGAUUGAUAGAUAAAAGCGAGAGUUUCAUUCUCAUCCUGAAAACAUUCUAACUGAGCUAAGUUUCUUGCUAAGAGUAAGGCGAUAGCUGAUCUAGUGAGCUUAGUAAGCUUUAUUCAACCCGCACAUAGAGCUUAACUAGAAGCGCGUCGAUCUAUAUUCAUAUUGGAUAAUUGAUCGAGAGAGCGAAAGGUGUAUCAAUCGAUACCCCUAUAGGAUUAUCGAUCGACACUGCUAUUGAUCGAACACAUUUGUUUGGGUCAUUAGAUCUAGUUAAUAGACGAGUUCAAACAUGCCAUAGCUGAUGGACUUGUUGAAAUGACAGCUGAGCUUUACAUUAUCAUACAUGCAACUCAUUAGACAUCUGUAGGAUUAUAAUUCUAAGUUUCCUGAAUAGAAACCCUAAGUCUAGCUAUUUCCUUUUAAGCACGAAAACCUCAACCAAUCAAUCGAGCGAUUACUUGCUCAAGCAAAACUGCAAAUUUACAUUUUAAAUCUUAAAAACUUCCUACUUAACAAAUAAUAUUAGAUCCAUUAGGUUCCCUAGCUCCCUGUGAAUUCGAUCCCUAAGUACUACAACUCGACCUCUUAUUUGAGAGAGUAUAAAUAACUCCUUUGGGUAAUUUGAGUGAUAUCAAUCCACGGAUGCAUCUGACCAGACCAAUGGGUCGGUUACUGAACGGUUGGAACAACCAAAGAGUACGAGUUGCCAAGAGUCAUGAGUUGCUAUGAGACACAAGUGAAUCAAAGGGUACGAGUCUCCAAAGAUUGGAGUUCCAAACGGUGUCAUUGGAUCAAGGCUUUGGCCAAUCCACUUGGGAACAGUUUGUGGCUGUAAGCCGGAUGGACGUUUGGUUCGUCUAACCGGAGUAUAGUGUUGCAAGGUCCGAUCGGUUAGAAGGCAGUCAGAUGGGCUUGGGACUUACUCGGUUGUAUAGAUCCAGGCCUUGGGCCGGAUCAGGUAAGAAGGUCCAUGAGCCUUUCGGACGGACUUAUGGAAUGGCCGACUAAACCUAGACCUUAACCGAAUGGUUGGAAGAGACUAUGGGUGAUCCGGCUAUGGUUGGAUCGAGAUCGUUUGGGCUUGGCUUGGUCUUGGUCUUGGUCUGAGUUUGGCCGUUUGUUCUAUGAUAGUCUUGAUAGAGGUUUAUGAUAUAGGACCUGGAACCAAACCUUGCAUUGCUAGAAUCGAUUGGUAGGAUAUAAGAUUGUACUUAAUGUAAUGGUUUGUGGUUUCAGGAACUGAGGCUGAUCGUGGUAAAGCCAAGGAGCCUUGAAAACUCUAUCAACGAGAGGCUGUGUGGUGUGUGGGUAGAUCAUGUUAGGAAUAAACUUAUAAUAGCUUAUAGAACACAUUGUAACUUUUGUAUUGGAUCUCAUCUUGAUUAAUAAUACAUGUUGGGGUCACACUCGGUCACGACGGAAUCCAUAUCGGAAAGUUCUCAAAAAAAUGUCUCACUUUGAAAAAGAAGAAUAAAAUUCAAAAGAAGAGAAAAGCGGGAAAACCUAAGUCGAGUUUCGUAUCAACUCUGAAAAGGAUUCACACAAUAAGUCUUCGAGAAAGGUUACUUCAGGCCCCGGACAAAUGGAUCCCAAACAACGAAACAACCAUAAAGCUUUAUGGACCGAACGCACCGUCCAACUCACCGAAAAGGCGAGUUGGAUCGAACAGGUUGUCCAACUAGCCCGUUUGGCCAGUUAGACCGAGCAGGACGUCCAACUCGCCCGUUCUGCGAGUUGGAUCGAGCAAGUCGUCCAACUCGCCCGUUCGGCGAGUUGGAGCAACUAGCCUGCCUUCAUCCCGUCCUCGUAGCUCCCUACUUCGAGAUCGGAUCGAACCUGCUCUUGUUUCAUCUCGAUCGGAGUCACCAUUGGAACUUUACGAUUUAAAAACCAGAAGAACUCGUUUUCUCGUAUGAAGUUUGGAUUGAUCCUAUAAAACGGCAACGGCUAACUAAACACAUCGAACUGCCUCCACUAUACGGGAAAUUCGAACCUUCUUUGGAAUCAAUGCCUUUUCGGAAGCGCUAUAUCGAUAAAUCGUAAAAACGCUUAAGUUGGAAAACGGCCCGAAAGGGUCCAAAACGCAGCUAGAAGUCCCACUCACGAUUUUACACGAAAUCGCCCAAACGUUAUGACGGUUUAUCUUUUAAUUUGCAGGAGAAGAUAAAUGUCAAGUUCGGAGGAUAAAUGUGAAGUUUCCAAAGAUAAACACGAAGAUUGAAAGAAAAUGGAAUAUUUCAGCGAAGCGAUAAAAUCAACCGAGGGCAGAAAUGGAAAGAGAAAACCGCCUCUAGGAGGAGUAUAUAAAGACAUCGAGGUUGAAGAUGCAAAGGACAAUUCUUUUUACUCUGAGAACUUUCUGCACUUAGAAACUUUAGGCAUUAUUCUCGACAUGUUCUGUUUCUAUGACUGGCACUCGAUUUCUAGACGAACCCGCAAAGGCAGUUCGAUAUCUUGUACUACUCUUUCAAUCGAACUACGUUCGGGUUGAUCCUUGAAAGGGGUACGUAGGCAGCCUUUCGUAGGGUUCAGUUCGAAAUCAAUCAAACCUUUUUCGUAUCUUUUUCGACUUCUGUUAUCGAGCUGCAACUCAACUAGGUUUUAGGUUUUAGGUUGCUAGAACUAGGUAAUUCGCUGACAGCUCUCGUGGCCGAAGCUUUUAUAACCUAUUGUAAUGAUCGCAACGCUCUUACGCGGAUUCGGAGGAAGAUCUACCUUUUCUAUAAAUUUGUUUUGUUAUCUUUUCAUAUUUUUCGCGUUUAUUUGGUUACUUGUCGUUGGCUCUCGCAGAGAAUCUGAGACCUCAGUGAAAGUUAGGGUUUCUUGACUUUCCUCCGAUUACGGAAAUCGACGGUGCAAAUUUCGGUUCCUACAAUACAAAGCAAUUUACCUUGUGUUUCUGUAUACUAUCUGGUCGCUUUUUUAAGAACCUCAUAUCUGAAUAUGAAUUAGUAAAUAAUAUACUUUAAAAUGAAUCUAACAAGCAAUAAUGUCUGGAAGUAAGGCCGCGGGUCCAGUUGGGUCGGAAGGCCAGGAACGGGUCUUACAAGGUCUACCAUAAGCACCACAUCACUUCCUUAGUGCCUUUUUGGGUUGUUCUGGCCUGGACCACAGUCCACAUAUGAAGCCAGUAGUAGAUAUUUACAUUUGAAUAGUCGAGGGAUGAUUGUUAUCCCAUAAGCGAUUUUAGGCUUGGAGCCUAAUGAGAUCGGGUAAUCUCCAAGGAUUCGUGAUCAUGUACUUGCAUUUUAGUGAAUAAUGAGAUCCAUUUCUUGGCGCGAGGCAUUGAUGGCAUACAAACCUAUAGGAAAGUAGCCUUAUGAUAGCCUAAUUUUAAUGCCGCGUAGCCGGAUCAGAUAGAGGGAUUGUCGAUGUACUGAAAUGGGCAAUCUAUUUCCCUGUUUUAGUCGACGGAUCCUGGCCUAGGCCAUGACUUAAGUAGUAGAAUGCUGCAAUGAUAAUACUUAUUUUUCCAAGUGAAAUAUACUGAAUAGGUCUGUCAGAGUCUGCUGUAGGUUUUUUCUUUGCUAGGAAGCAGGGAUCUCUAGUCCAGAUCCAGAGGUAGGACUCGACGAGAGGAGUUACCUUGUUGGAGGAUCCUAGUUGUAACGCUUGAGAGCCAUGGAGAUUUUCUUAGAUAAAAUCCAUUCCUUUAUUUUAUUUGAAUAUGUUGGGGAUUUCAUUUCCUUCUCUUGGAGAGAGCAAGGUUUGGAAAUCAAAUCUUCACUCAUUGCUUCAGAUUUAUUUUAUUUUCCUUGGCGGUUUCCCAGAGAAAAGAGAUCUGGAAGUUGUGGGUAACAUCUUCGUCUUCUCCUUUCGUUUCUCUUUCUACUGUUGCUGCUAUUCGUCUUUCUUCGUUUGAUCUAAGAUCACUCUCAGGUUCCCCCUUUGGUUAUUUUAUGGGGUUUAGGGAUUGAUUAGCUUCCUCCGCACCUAAACACUUAUUUUUCCGUUGGGGUAUGCGUUUGAUACAAAACCGUUCCAUAAUUACUUAUAUUUAGUGGAAUGAAUGGUUGGGAAUACCAACUUAGGAUGUAUAUUGUUUUGCGAAAUUGUUUAAACUAUCACAUUCUUAAUACUACUUUUUAUGUUUAUCUUAACCACAUUUAUCCUUACUUUUAACAAGGUAAAUAGAUAAUUAUAACUCUAAGGUUAACUAAUCUAUAUUUAGGGUUGAGAGUUGAGAGAAGAGGUUUUUGGAAGGUGGGAUUUAGGAUUUUAAUAGUUACUAGAUUUUGACCCGCGCUUUGAAAGCGCAUGAUUAUUUUUGUUGACAAAAUUAUUAAUCCGUUUGUUUGUUCACUAAUAUGAUUAGGUAUGCUUUCAAUUUUCAGUUUGAUUCCAGAUUUUUAUAUUUUUUGAUUCCGGUUCAGUUGUAGUGUUCGGUUUAAGAAAUAUAGAAAUUGUUCCGUUAUUUAUGAAUCUUAAUAUUUGUUUUCAGAGGUAAAACAUGAAAUCUGGGGUUAUUGGGUGUCCCGAAAAAAUCGAUGGUGAUUUGAAGAGCAAAUAAGCCUCCACGAGUUUCAAAUUUGAUACUGCUUGCAAGGUAAGUAAGUUCAACAUGGAUACCAAAAUGCGUCAAUUUAGUUACGUCUUAUCCUAGUCAAACGUAUCAAUAGUUUGCGAUUGUAUUCAUGCAUAUAUACUCUGAAAUGAGUCAAAUGACUGGAAAUAUUAUGUUGGAUGUAUUAUUUUUGAUAUACAUUAAAUUUUCAUUUUAUCUGUAUAGUUGUGAUUCCUAUGGGUGGUGCUGCUUCUCCUAUCAAUACUAUUAAAACAGAAGUACAUUUUGUACUUAGCCCAUAUUUUCUUCAAUAAUUACCACUUUAUGCAACUAGCAUUAAACACAACGUUUUUGCUUCUUUUUUUUUCUAAACCGACACGUUUACCUUAUUAUUUAACCGUACAAUUACAAGAAUCUUAUUUAGUUUCAAAUCUUUCGGAUCACCUAUAAGAUCUAAUCAUUAAAGACCUAUAUCCAUAUUCUGCGGUUCAGUUUUAACAAUACCAAGCGGUUGCGUACAGAAUAUAUUCGGGUUGAUACGAUUUUGUUUUAAAUGGAAUAUUAAGAUAUACCAUUCUGGUUCUAAUCUCGCCAUAUAUAGCCUCUUAACCUAGAUUCUAUGAUCCAUAUAUAUCUACUCUGAAUUUACCCUGUACACAUUCACAAUUCAGAGAAAAAAUGUAACGCAAAAAGCCUGUCUUUUCUUAACGAUGUCAAACCUUUUAAGAACAGUUGGGGAGUUUGUGUGAAAUUAAUUCAUUCAUGGAAGCAAAAUACCAGCUAGGCAGGAGAAACUCUCAAAGUGCAUCCUUGCAAGCAAAACUGUAAGAUAAAAGUUCAAGUCAUAUAUUGUUAGUCCAAAAACAAUUUAUAAUCGUGUUUCAUAAUCUGUCUGGACUAUAUCACAGUUUUAUUAGGUUGAGCUUUAUUAAUAUUAGAUUUUUUUUCUCGUAGGUUGUAACAAUUCAUGCCAGUUGCAAAAUAACUCUAAUGUAUCGUACGUGUUCAUCGCAGUCUACCGGUUGGAUAAUGGAGGUUUAUAGAGAAAAUUUCCAUUUCACAGGAUUCCCGUAUAGACCAACAAACCAUUAAUCAGGUUACAGCCACAAGCAGCACACUACAAGAAAACGUAGCAGUAACAACGGCAUUUUACGAGGAAAUAAUUUCCUCGUAAAUUUACAUGAGCUUUACAACGCAAUUACGACGCGACAUGACUUCGUCGUAAACUCGAUGGUAAUUUACGACGAAAUGUAUUCGUCGUAAAGUUAAUGUAAGUUUACGACGAAAGUACGUGGAAUGCAAAAUAGUUGUAAACGUUACAUCGACAUUACAACGAAUCAUGUUACCGUUACAUAAAGGUGAAAACGUGUAUUGAAAGUGCUUUAACUUACCUAAGUUCGUUGUAAACGCGUUGUAAAUUUUCCAUGUAAAAUCCAUGUAAAACUUACCAUAUUUCUCUAUAUAUAUGUCAUUUCCCACAACUCUCUUCCUCACAACACACAACUCUCUUCCUCACAACACACAACUCUCUUCUUCUCGAACCACCAAUUACUAUUUCGAAGAUAACGAUAACGAACAUGAGUCAUUCGUCUGUCUGCCAAUUCAGUAGAGCGAUAAGGAGAAAAUGGAGGGAAGUGAAGUUGGUUUAUACUUGAGUGAAACCUCCGACCAUCGUCAAAAGUUCCUCUCAAGUACAAACCAGCUGCACUUCCGUCCACUUUCUCCUUGUCGUUCCACUGAAUUGGCAGACAGACGAACGACACAGGUUCCUUAUCGUUGUUUUAGAAAUAGUAAUUGGUGGGGUAACAACGCAAUUACGACGAAACCAACGAAACCAAAUUUCGUCGUAAACGCCAUGUAAUAUUACGACGUAAGUACGUCGAAAUUGAAAUUUUACAUCGUUAUUACAACGAAUCAUGUUACCGUUAUAUUUAGGUGAAAAACUUAUCGAGUUUCGUUGUAAAGUCGUUGUAAAAAAUCUAUGUAAAAUCCAUGUAAACUUUCCCUUGUAAAAUCGUUGUUAUAUUUCAACUACCCAACUCGAAAAUUUCUCUAUAUAUAUGUCAUUUCCCACAACUCUCUUCCUCACAACACACAACUCUCUUCCUCACAACACACAAACGGAAAAAAAAAAAAUUUAAAAAAAAA
Molecule: long non-coding RNA, 18917 nt
Organism: Brassica rapa (field mustard)
Lineage: Eukaryota; Viridiplantae; Streptophyta; Magnoliopsida; Brassicales; Brassicaceae
Source: RefSeq, a predicted model, not a curated record